GGUGCGUAACACGUGAGAAACCUGCCCUUAAGUUCGGGAUAGCCCUACGAAAGUAGGAUUAAUACCGAAUGUGGCCUGAGGAUAGCAUUUUCCUUUGGUUAAAGCUCGGUUAUAGAGCGCUUUAGGAUGGUCUCGCGGUCUAUCAGCUUGUUGGUGAGGUAACGGCUCACCAAGGCUCUGACGGAUAGCUGGUCUGAGAGGAUGAUCAGUCACACUGGAACUGAGAUACGGUCCAGACACCUACGGGUGGCAGCAGUCGAGAAUCAUUCACAAUGGGCGAAAGCCUGAUGGUGCGACGCCGCGUGGGGGAUGAAGGGCUUCGGUUCGUAAACCCCUGUCAUCUGUGAGUAAGGCUCCCAAUAAAAGCUUGGGAGAUUGAUAUUAGCAGAAGAGGAAGGGACGGCUAACUCAGUGCCAGCAGCCGCGGUAAUACUGAGGUCCCAAGCGUUGUUCGGAUUUACUGGGCGUAAAGGGUGCGUAGGCGGCUAUAAAAGUUUGGUGUGAAAUCA
RNAcentral lists this ribosomal RNA (509 nucleotides) under uncultured marine microorganism. Its description in RNAcentral is "bacterial SSU rRNA". It matches the Rfam family "Bacterial small subunit ribosomal RNA", at positions 105 to 602 of the family's 1533-position model. The record is from RNAcentral.